Molecule: ribosomal RNA, 110 nt
Filed under: uncultured bacterium
Lineage: Bacteria
Description: partial 16S ribosomal RNA
Rfam family: Bacterial small subunit ribosomal RNA
Source: RNAcentral
CUGCGGUGAAUACGUUCCCGGGUCUUGUACGCACCGCCCGUCAAACCAUGAAAGUGACCAACACCCGAAGUCCGAUUCGUCGGCCUAAGGUGGGGGGCAUGAUUGGGGUU